This 838-nucleotide ribosomal RNA is filed under the name uncultured archaeon. RNAcentral's name for it is "bacterial SSU rRNA". It matches the Rfam family "Archaeal small subunit ribosomal RNA", at positions 21 to 859 of the family's 1478-position model. The record is from RNAcentral.
AGGUUACUGCUAUCGGUGUUCGCCUAAGCCAUGCGAGUCACAUGUUCGUAAGAACAUGGCGUACUGCUCAGUAACACGUGGAUAACCUGCCCUUGGGUCCGGCAUAACCCCGGGAAACUGGGGAUAAUUCCGGAUAACGCACAUAUGCUGGAAUGCUUUUUGCGUAAAAUGGAUUCGUCUGCCCAAGGAUGGGUCUGCGGCCUAUCAGGUAGUAGUGGGUGUAAUGUACCUACUAGCCUACGACGGGUACGGGUUGUGAGAGCAAGAGCCCGGAGAUGGAUUCUGAGACAUGAAUCCAGGCCCUACGGGGCGCAGCAGGCGCGAAAACUUUACAAUGCGGGAAACCGUGAUAAGGGGACACCGAGUGCCAGCAUCCUAUGCUGGCUGUCCGGGUGUGUAAAAUACACCUGUUAGCAAGGGCCGGGCAAGACCGGUGCCAGCCGCCGCGGUAACACCGGCGGCCCGAGUGGUGAUCGUGAUUAUUGGGUCUAAAGGGUCCGUAGCCGGUUUGGUCAGUCCUCCGGGAAAUCUGACAGCUUAACUGUUAGGCUUUCGGAGGAUACUGCCAGACUUGGAACCGGGAGAGGUAAGAGGUACUACAGGGGUAGGAGUGAAAUCUUGGAAUCCCUGUGGGACCACCUGUGGCGAAGGCGUCUUACCAGAACGGGUUCGACGGUGAGGGACGAAAGCUGGGGGCACGAACCGGAUUAGAUACCCGGGUAGUCCCAGCCGUAAACGAUGCUCGCUAGGUGUCAGGCAUGGCGCGACCGUGUCUGGUGCCGCAGGGAAGCCGUGAAGCGAGCCACCUGGGAAGUACGGCCGCAAGGCUGAAACUUAG